RNAcentral lists this ribosomal RNA (440 nucleotides) under uncultured bacterium. RNAcentral's name for it is "partial 16S ribosomal RNA". It matches the Rfam family "Bacterial small subunit ribosomal RNA", at positions 338 to 795 of the family's 1533-position model. The record is from RNAcentral.
CCUACGGGAGGCAGCAGUGGGGGAUAUUGCACAAUGGGGGAAACCCUGAUGCAGCGACGCCGCGUGAGUGAAGAAGUAUUUCGGUAUGUAAAGCUCUAUCAGCAGGGAAGAAAAUGACAGUACCUGACCAAGAAGCCCCGGCUAACUACGUGCCAGCAGCCGCGGUAAUACGUAGGGGGCAAGCGUUAUCCGGAUUUACUGGGUGUAAAGGGAGCGUAGACGGUUAUGUAAGUCUGGAGGGAAAGGCGGGGGCUCAACCCCCGGACUGCUCUGGAAACUGUACGGCUGGAGUGCAGGAGAGGUAAGUGGAAUUCCUAGUGUAGCGGUGAAAUGCGUAGAUAUUAGGAGGAACACCAGUGGCGAAGGCGGCUUACUGGACUGUAACUGACGUUGAGGCUCGAAAGCGUGGGGAGCAAACAGGAUUAGAUACCCGAGUAGUC